GGGCGAAGGGACUGAUGUGAAGAGUGCACUUCACCCAGCACGCAUCCUUCCCAACGGCCCCUUCGCGCUUCGCCUGCCUACCUGAAUACUUCAUGUAUUAUAAUUAUUUAAAGCGCCUGGGUACGGGGCAGAUAGAAGGCCCUAAUAAAAAUGAAGCCAAAAGUACGUUUGUUUUGAGACCGGCCGCCAUGUUGAAUGGCCCCACUUGAGGAGUGAAAGACUAUAGAUUUCUAUUGUAAAACUGACAUUUUUCGCAGAAAUUUCGCCUUAUACUCCCUAAGUAUGCGAAGAAAUCAAGUCAAAUCUGGCAUUUCAAGAACAAGCACACAUCAUAGAAGAAUGAAGAACAUUUGAAUGUUGAAAGAAACUAAAUCCCAGGUAAAUAAUUUGAUAUUUUCACCCACUGGUUUUGACCGUCGAAAGAUCAGAGCCGACCGAACGUCAGAACACAGCACUAUACUCUGCAGAUUACAAAGUAAUUAUGAUUUUUCUGUAUAAAAUAGUCACUUACUACAGUACUAAAACAAUUACUUACGUUUUUGAGUGACUAUAGGUAGGUUUAAUAAGCGGCAUAACGCGAUAGUGUGCAGUGUAUUUGUAGGCCUAAUUGACAUUUUAUGCAGAUUAUGCUUGGGCUGGCAAAUUUGUUUUAAAUAAUAGAUCAAAUGGCCAGGGUGCAUUUCAUGUAAACUACGCCGGAGAUACGCCAACAUAUACGAUAGUUCACACCAAUACAUUGGAGAUUUUAACUUUGGGGACCAAAUUCCAUGUUAAAAUGGCUAAUCUGGCAUAUUUUAUACACUGUUAACAUCAUAUUCUUGAAGUUAUACUCAGUGAAUAUACAUACUGUAUGACAACCAAUUCAGGCACAAACUUACUGUAGUUACACUUAUCACUUCUUUUUGAGUGAUCUCACGCAAUACACCAACAAUGUUGUAACCUCACGCCGGAUAUAUCUGGCGUGGAGUGAAUGGAAUGAACUCUGGCUAAUGUAUUUCGGUUUGGAGGUUUAAUGCAGUGUGGCUAAGUUCUAGAAUGAAACCAAAUAAACAGAAAGCCAUGUCAUUGAUAUUAUUUGAUGUAGUGUACUGUAUAUUUGUUUCACUGAAUUGGAAAUGAAAUGUGUACAAUGUACAUAGUGUGGACAAAGUAGUUGGUUUGAAAAUAGUCACUAUAAUUUUUGUAUAUUGUAUUUCAGUUGUACUGAAGACUGUACAAAUUCAACACAAGAUUGUAAAUGCUAUGAAGCUUUGCCCAUCAGUCAUCAAGAGUACAACAGUUAAUAUGCACCUGUAGUCGUUGUAGUAGUUUAUAUAUAUUACAUUAAAGAUUUUUAUCAACUCGUGUUGUUGUCAAUACCAUCUGC
This is a non-coding RNA of Paramuricea clavata, 1366 nucleotides long. NCBI's taxonomy places the organism in Eukaryota, Metazoa, Cnidaria, Anthozoa, Malacalcyonacea, Plexauridae. The record is from the annotation of a GenBank genome assembly.